AUUGAACGCUGGCGGAAUGCUUUACACAUGCAAGUAGAACGGCAGCACGGACUUCGGUCUGGUGGCGAGUGGCGAACGGGUGAGUAAUGUAUCGGAACGUGCCCAGUCGUGGGGGAUAACGUAGUGAAAAUUACGCUAAUACCGCAUACGAUCUAUGGAUGAAAGCGGGGGAUCCCAUGACCUCGCGCGAUUGGAGCGGCCGAUAUCAGAUUAGGUAGUUGGUGGGGCAAGGGCCCACCAAGCCAACGAUCUGUAGCUGGUCUGAGAGGACCACCAGCCACACUGGAACUGAGACACGGUCCAGACUCCUACGGGAGGCAGCAGUGGGGAAUUUGGGACAAUGGGCGAAAGCCUGAUCCAGCCAUUCCGCGUGCAGGAUGAAGGCCCUCGGGUUGUAAACUGCUUUUGUACAGAACGAAAAGGUUUCUACUAAUACUAGGAGCUCAUGACGGUACUGUAAGAAUAAGCACCGGCUAACUACGUGCCAGCAGCCGCGGUAA
Molecule: ribosomal RNA, 500 nt
Filed under: uncultured bacterium
Lineage: Bacteria
Description: partial 16S ribosomal RNA
Rfam family: Bacterial small subunit ribosomal RNA
Source: RNAcentral